AACCUGGUUGAUCCUGCCAGUAGUCAUACGCUCGUCUCAAAGAUUAAGCCAUGCAUGUCUAAGUAUAAGCGUUUAUACAGUGAAACUGCGAAUGGCUCAUUAUAUCAGUUAUAGUUUACUUGAUAGUGCCUUACUACAUGGAUAACCGUAGUAAUUCUAGAGCUAAUACAUGCGUAAGUCCCGACCGGCAACGGAAGGGAUGUAUUUAUUAGAUAUAAGCCAACGCGGUCAGCAAUGGCCGGUUUUUGGUGAGUCAUAAUAACUUUGCGGAUCGCAGUGCGGCUUGCCGCGGCGAUGAAUCAUUCAAGUUUCUGCCCUAUCAGCUUUCGAUGGUAGGGUAUUGGCCUACCAUGGCAUUAACGGGUAACGGAGAAUUAGGGUUCGGUUCCGGAGAGGGAGCCUGAGAAAUGGCUACCACCUCCACGGAAGGCAGCAGGCGCGUAAAUUACCCAAUCCUGACACAGGGAGGUAGUGACAAGAAAUAACAAGGCGGGGCUUUUAUAGUCUUGCUUUUGGAAUGGGGUGAAAUUAAAUCAAUUGCCGAGAACCAAUUGGAGGGCAAGCCUGGUGCCAGCAGCCGCGGUAAUUCCAGCUCCAAUAGCGUAUAUUAAAGUUGUUGCAGUUAAAAAGCUCGUAGUUGGAUUUCUGGAGGGAGCGGCCGGUCCGCGUCCUUUGGGCGCGUGUACUAGCUGUAUCUCCCACCUGCCUUGCGGGGACUGUGUCGGGCGGCUCUGCUGUCUCGGCCAGGAACCGCAUCAUUUACUGUGAGAAAAUUAGAGUGUUCAAAGCAGUCUGCGCGU
Molecule: ribosomal RNA, 800 nt
Filed under: uncultured stramenopile
Lineage: Eukaryota
Description: SSU rRNA
Rfam family: Eukaryotic small subunit ribosomal RNA
Source: RNAcentral